CCCUUAGAUGUUCUGGGCCGCACGCGCGCUACACUGAUUCAUGCAACGAGCUUAUAACCUUGGCCGAAAGGUCUGGGUAAUCUCCAAAUUUCGUCGUGAUGGGGAUAGAUUAUUGCAAUUAUUAAUCUUCAACGAGGAAUGCCUAGUAAGCGCAAGUCAUCAGCUUGCGUUGAUUACGUCCCUGCCCUUUGUACACACCGCCCGUCGCUCCUACCGAUUGAAUGGUCCGGUGAAGCGUUCGGACCGUGGCCUUUGGACGGUUCGCCGUCUGUUGGCUGCGGGAAGUUCGUUAAACCUUAUCAUUUAGAGGAAGGAGAAGUCGUAACA
Molecule: ribosomal RNA, 327 nt
Filed under: uncultured eukaryote
Lineage: Eukaryota
Description: partial 18S ribosomal RNA
Rfam family: Eukaryotic small subunit ribosomal RNA
Source: RNAcentral